Small nuclear RNA from Cryptomeria japonica (Japanese cedar), 122 nucleotides. The record is from RefSeq and is a predicted model, not a curated record. NCBI's taxonomy places the organism in Eukaryota, Viridiplantae, Streptophyta, Pinopsida, Cupressales, Cupressaceae.
GCAUUUGUAGAAAGGAAAGACAUUUGGCAUCUCCCUUGAUCAGGAUGGGAAGAGAUUUUGGACUUUCCAUUCACACAUGGAUAAGGCAAUCUGCAGCUGGUUGGUCUUACCCAAUAUUUGCU